UGAUUAUUAAUGCAGAGUAAGCAGUCUGGCUUUGCAGCAGGACCAUUACCACCACUGAAGCUUUGGAUUAAAGCCAGCAAGACUCAGAAUUAGCUCAUUGUUCAAUACAGUCCAACUACGGGCACUGGGGUAGACAGUAAGCCAGAAUUUUUGGGAGCUUUUCAAAAGCUGACUGUACUUCAUUUUUGGACUUGAGUAAUUACUGCACAUUUGAAAAAAAAAUGCUCCCUAUUUGGGAGCUACUUGCAGAUCUGUAUGUAGACCGAAGGUGGAGUGGGGCAGAGGGCUUUGUCUUUUGUUCCACCUUAGGAACUGAGGUGACCUGCCCGAGGUCCCGCCUCUGCCAGAAAAGCAUGCAGAUAAGGGACUGGCAGUGUUUUGACCUGGUGUCACCCAUCUCGUCUGCAGACUGCUGAAGAGCAGCCACAAGGAUGGAAGUGUUCUCUUGGGGAUACUUCCUACCAUCCACCAGGAAAAGAAAUGGUUUCAAGAUGGGGAACAAUAAAACUGAAGUCUUGCUUGUGACUCCUCCAAUGGAUGCAGAUUUAUAUUUUGCUGAAAGAAGAUGGAGUCCCUCUUUUCUUUCAAUCAUUUUUCUUCCAUGUGCUUUGACUUGGUGUAUGGGUUUUGAUGAGGUGGCACAGCUUAUAAGUUUGGUUUUGUUUAUUUUUUUAACUUUUAGAUUAAACAAAUUGAGGGGACUCUGAACCUAACUGAUAUAUCAUGGAUAAUAUUACAACAAACAGCAGUUUUACCAAACUGGAACACUAAUAUGUACAAACUGUGAACAACAAUGCAACCAAUACAGGUGGGCCUUCAGGCCUUGUCGUACCAUGCAACAUACUGUCUUCCAUUAUUACAUUGGAAGUGCAUAACCAAAGAAUUUCAACUUUUACACGUCACUUUCUCAUCAUUAUCAAAUAGCAUACAAAGGCUGAGAGUCCCUUACAUUUUAUUUCUAUGUAUUAAGCUUGUUAGUUCAUAACAUGUCUGAAAUCUUCAAUUGCCUAUGUAACCUCAUAUUUUAGCUCUGUAAAUUUUAUGUAUAGAAAUACUGUAAUAGUACGUAAUGCAUUGUUUCCUUGUGGUAACUGAUAGAGGUGCUGCCACGGGAUAUGAGACACUGAUGAAUGGUGCUAUUUUGGAUUUUAAACAUGCUCCUUGGCAAGGUAGCUCUGAUGGAUUUUAUUUUUUUUAAUUUUUAUUUUCUGUUCUGAGAGCAUAUUGAUGCUUUUCUGAUUGCUUUCAUUUUUUGGACUCGAGUGACUUGCUUCUGAAUGUUUGGUGGCUUUCAUGUUGGAUUAAUUAGGAUAGGAGCAGUACCUGUCAAAUGGAGAGUUGAAUUGCAGCAUACUUGACGCAUGACAGUGCCUGAGAGACAAAGGGGACAAUUACAGCAUUGCAAUCUUGCCUUUUUUAAAUUUGCUUUCUCCCUUUAAGCACUUCUUUAAUAGCUCUAAGAAAUCUCAAAUCUUUUUUUUUAAAUACUCAACUGUGGUUGAGAUAGGCAUUUUGAUGUUUUGAACAAUGCCAUUGAUAGACAAAGUCUACUAAACAUGAUAAAAUAAGUUGUAGUAUCACAGUAACAUCAAAAUUAGGUAAUUGAAGAUUAGGUAAUUGAUUAGGUACAGUGAUUGAGACAAAAACUAGGGCACAUCCAUGGAAUAUAAUAUUUUCUCUGACUACUUGCUGUUGGAAGACCUUUUGACAUCAAAUGGGUGGUGGAAAAGAUCGCCAAAGUGGGAGACAGAGAACCCUAAUCACUUUAUUUUUGGAAGGUAGUUUCCCUGUUGGAACAAUUUAAUAAAUUGGAGACAAUAUUUUUCACAGUUAUCACUAAGCACCAAGUCAACCUUGUCUAAAAGUAAACAAGACUGCAUUAAUCUCUGAUACUCUUGCACUUUUGUGGGUAAACAAUUAUAGUUGCAAGGGACAUGUAAAAAUUAAUUUAUGGAAAUCUUUUGAUCUUGUAAUAUUUGUAAACUCAAAAGGAAUAUGCAGUCAGUUUAACAUGAAUCUAAUUGAUUGCGUAUCUUACCGUGGAACAAGUGAUACAGUGCCCUUCUGAUUUUAUUUACCGUUAAAGAAGCUCGACUUCAUUUUUGAUUGAGGACAAAAAUAAAGCAAAAUAUUUAUUGUGAACAGGGGAAAAAGUAGAAUGAAAAGGAUGUUUGCUGUUUUGUGUUUGCUCCCUUUUAAACUAAACCAUAUAGUACCACCAAAUAUGAGAUGCUGCUGUGUUAGAUAUGGUCUGAAAGCCCACCUUAAGAAAUAUUUUAAUGUCUCUUUAGCUGUUCCUUCCAUUCAAGCCUUCCUGCUUGUUCUAGACUAUUCCAGUUUCUGACUGUUAAAUGCUGAUGCAUGUAAUCAUUAUUAACUGUGUUUAAACAUUAUUUGAUUAGAAGUUGUGUAACUAGCAAAGUAGGUCUUUAGUAGCAUUUUGCAUAUGUAUAAAGGUUAGGCUUUAUGAUAAAAGUACAUGUUUUGCUGAAAAUGUGCUCCAAAUGUUUUACUGUAAUAUCAUAUAUACCCAGUGUAUCACUAUUUUGUGCUUACUUUAGUAGAAUUCAAUAAAUAUUCAUCACAAUUGUG
Long non-coding RNA from Hypanus sabinus (Atlantic stingray), 2592 nucleotides. RefSeq lists it as uncharacterized. Lineage: Eukaryota; Metazoa; Chordata; Chondrichthyes; Myliobatiformes; Dasyatidae. The record is from RefSeq and is a predicted model, not a curated record. The transcript is spliced from 4 exons.